This 883-nucleotide long non-coding RNA is filed under the name Zonotrichia albicollis (white-throated sparrow). RNAcentral describes it as "lncRNA (ENSZALG00000000516.1)". The record is from RNAcentral. Lineage: Eukaryota; Metazoa; Chordata; Aves; Passeriformes; Passerellidae.
UGCUCGCGGCCUUUCCCAUUUUUUUGGUUUAUUUUGGGAAGGGGGGGGAGGGGUCUCGCCUGAUUUUGGGAUUUUUUUUAGGGAUUAUUUUGGGGGUCUCCUUCUCUGUUUUUGGGGUUAUUUUCGGGGUCUCCUUCUCUGUUUUUGGGGUUCUUUUGGGGGUCUCCUCGCCUAUUUUUGGGAUUUUUUUUGAGAUUUUUUUGGGGGUCCUCUCGGCUAUUUUUGGGAUUUUUUUAGGGAUUAUUUUGGGGGUCUCCUUCUCUGUUUUUGGGAUUAUUUUCGGGGUCUCCUUCUCUGUUUUUGGGGUUAUUUUGGGGGUCUCCUCGCCUAUUUUUGGGAUUUUUUUGGGGGGUCCUCUCAGCUAUUUUUGGGAUUUUUUUAGGGAUUAUUUCGGGGUCUCCUUCUCUGUUUUUGGGGUUAUUUUGGGGGUCUCCUUCUCUAUUUUUGGGGUUGUUUUGGGGGUGUCCUCGCCUAUUUUUGGGAUUUUUUUUGAGAUUUUUUUUUGGGUCCUCUCGGCUAUUUUUGGGAUUUGUUUUUAGGGAUUAUUUUGGGGUCUCCUUCUCUGUUUUUGGGAUUAUUUUCGGGCUCUUCUUCUCUAUUUCUGGGAUUGUUUUGGGGGCUCCCUCGUAGAUUUUUGGUGUUUUUUUGGGGGGCUCCUCUCCCCUUUAUUUAUUUAUUUAUUUAUUUAUUUUAUUUACUUAAAUCUGGGGGUUCCUCUCCCCCUUCCCCUCUGCAAUUUUUGGGGCAAAAAAAAGGAGAAAAACAGAGUGGGGGGAGUUGAAUUUAUUUUCUUUUUAUAACAAGAGGAGGGGGCUUCUAAUUUAUUUUAUUUUUUAGGAAAAAAGUGGGGUCCUUUCUCCUGAUUUUAUUUUUUUUUUUGUUU